UGCUAAGGAGAAAGUUAUUUCAAAUGAUCCCAGAAAUCUCCCUUUUCCGAAUUGCGAGACAUUUUUGGGGCACUCUAUAUAUUGCGAGUCAUGUACCUUCAAAGGGAUACGACGACGAAUUUUUCUGGGAUUAGGAUACAUAUGGACAUUUCCACUACUGAUUUUCAAGAAGAUUUGGGCAUAUAAAAGGUCCAAAUGCGACUAAAACUGGGCCCAGUUUCAAGUUAAUUACUGACGAAGAGGAAUGCUAGCGAGAAUGAGUCUGAUAUUCUUCCGAGCAUUUCAACCGAAUGCAUACGUAUAUCGUUGCAAGGUUAUAAGCCCCCGCCAGCGUGACUUAUCAGUGCGAUAAACUGGAACCGCGAUCUAGAAUCCAUGAAACACAUACAUUCACACAAUUGCAUUGAACUAACAAGCUUGUAAUAUAUUAUCUGUUACCAGUCAAUUUGAAUGUAAAAUUCAUUUAUUUCAUUUUCUGAUUCGAAGCAGUAGUUGGUACAAACCCACAGAGAUAUAUCUUUACCGCUCGAGGUAUAUCUUUAAUUUUUCUUGUAAAAAGUUACGAGGCAACUAAACCUCCAAUCCCUAUAGCGACGGUCCGUGUUGACAUUACAUUACAUCGGCUAAUUCACGUUUCCGCCUUACCAAAACUCCAAAAUCGCGUAACACCUCCAUUCGACGUAUAUUCGACGAGCUUACACGUUUGACGGAGAGAGAGUGUACUGUAUUUUGUCCAUUGCAUUGACACUUCACCGAAUUCCUGGUUGGAAAUUACAGAAAGUAAUAUUAAAAUUGCAUGGAAUAAAAUUACUAAUCCUGCUAGUCCUCCCAUUCAGUCAGACAUGUCAGUGCUUGAACCAGAUUUGAGCUACACAUGGUAAGUGUUAUCACAGGAGAGCAAUACACCCCAACAAUUGUGUUUCACACAAUUUUUAUUAAACUGCGAGGGAGAAGAAAGAAGGGACGAAAAUGAAGAGACAGGAGCAGAAACGGAAAAACUUCAGGAAGAACCGUAUGAGAACAAUAAAUUACGUAUGGCCUAUAAAUUACGUAUGGUUACAUUGCCACAUAGUGCAAGAGAAUCACCUCACAUGCAAUACAUGGUGAAGGCAUUGAAAUUGUAUUUCUUGGGCAAGGAAAAUUAAAUAAGAAAUAGAGAAAAAACAUCACAGCAGGCAACGAUACUACACGAUUCCAACGAUGAUACGCCAUAAAACAUUCAAUAUAGAAUAUAAAUUUUCACAAUAAAUAUUGAAUAAAUAAAUAUAAUUGAAGUUA
Molecule: non-coding RNA, 1278 nt
Organism: Megalopta genalis
Lineage: Eukaryota; Metazoa; Arthropoda; Insecta; Hymenoptera; Halictidae
Source: RefSeq, a predicted model, not a curated record